AACAUCGACAUUUCGAACGCACAUUGCGGUCCACGGAUACAAUUCCCGGACCACGCCUGGCUGAGGGUCGUUUAUAAUAUAAAAACUGCUUAUCUUACUUUCGUAAAGAAUUUAAGAUUUAGCGAAAUAAUGAACGUUCAUUAAAACAUUUUUAUAAAUGAUAAAUUUAAUGUCGUUUGAAAUAAGUUGAAUUGCUUAUUAGAAAAUAAUAAUAAAAUACAAUUGACGACAAGUCACAUGAACUCUCGUGCAAUCUUUUGAACGAUAUAUCCACGUAUCAAUAUAUAAAGACAUAAUUUAUAUUUGAUUGUGAAUAUUGUUUGGUUGUUGUCGUUGUGUCAAUGAGUAAGUUUAAUCAUACUUCGACCGACUUCAAUAAAUUUUAAAACCAUUCAACACAAUGAAAUUUUGAACGUUUGUCUAUUUGAUUACAAAUAAGUGGUGUUGCUAUGAGAUUGACUUUGUUGUUUAAAUAGUAUUUUUAUUUUCUUCUAUAUGACGACCUCAGAUUAGGCGAGAC
Molecule: ribosomal RNA, 520 nt
Filed under: Leptopilina clavipes
Lineage: Eukaryota; Metazoa; Arthropoda; Insecta; Hymenoptera; Figitidae
Description: eukaryotic LSU rRNA
Source: RNAcentral